GUCUAUGGCCAUACCACGCUGAAUGUGCCCAAUCUUGGAAACCUAGCAGAAUUGGGCUUGGCUAGUACUUGAAUAAGAGAAACUCUAACAAAAUCAACCAGUGAUAACUG
Molecule: ribosomal RNA, 110 nt
Filed under: Nannospalax galili (Upper Galilee mountains blind mole rat)
Lineage: Eukaryota; Metazoa; Chordata; Mammalia; Rodentia; Spalacidae
Source: RNAcentral